GCGGAUAUGGUUUAAUGGUAGAAUAGCGCCUUGCCAAGGCGCAGAUCGGGGUCCGAUUCCCCGUAUCCGCACCA
RNAcentral lists this transfer RNA (74 nucleotides) under bacterium. Its description in RNAcentral is "tRNA-Gly". It matches the Rfam family "tRNA". Rfam says of the family: Transfer RNA (tRNA) molecules are approximately 80 nucleotides in length. Their secondary structure includes four short double-helical elements and three loops (D, anti-codon, and T loops). Further hydrogen bonds mediate the characteristic L-shaped molecular structure. tRNAs have two regions of fundamental functional importance: the anti-codon, which is responsible for specific mRNA codon recognition, and the 3' end, to which the tRNAs corresponding amino acid is attached (by aminoacyl-tRNA synthetases). tRNAs cope with the degeneracy of the genetic code in two manners: having more than one tRNA (with a specific anti-codon) for a particular amino acid; and 'wobble' base-pairing, i.e. permitting non-standard base-pairing at the 3rd anti-codon position. The record is from RNAcentral.